RNAcentral lists this ribosomal RNA (401 nucleotides) under uncultured bacterium. RNAcentral's name for it is "partial 16S ribosomal RNA". It matches the Rfam family "Bacterial small subunit ribosomal RNA", at positions 338 to 736 of the family's 1533-position model. The record is from RNAcentral.
CCUACGGGUGGCAGCAGUGAGGAAUAUUGGUCAAUGGACGCAAGUCUGAACCAGCCAUGCCGCGUGCAGGAAGACGGCUCUAUGAGUUGUAAACUGCUUUUGUACGAGGGUAAACGCAGAUACGCGUAUCUGUCUGAAAGUAUCGUACGAAUAAGGAUCGGCUAACUCCGUGCCAUCAGCCGCGGUAAUACGGAGGGUUCAAGCGUUAUCCGGAUUUAUUGGGUUUAAAGGGUGCGUAGGCGGUCGGAUAAGUUAGAGGUGAAAUCCCGAGGCUCAAAUUCGGAAUUGCCUCUGAUACUGGUCGGCUAGAGAGUAGUAGCGGUAGGCGGAAUGUAUGGUGUAGCGGGGAAAUGCUUAGAGAUCAUACAGAACAACGAUGGCGAAGGAAGCUUACCAAGCUA